RNAcentral lists this long non-coding RNA (8056 nucleotides) under Hordeum vulgare. RNAcentral describes it as "long non-coding RNA (HVUL_LNC004513)". Lineage: Eukaryota; Viridiplantae; Streptophyta; Magnoliopsida; Poales; Poaceae. The record is from RNAcentral.
GCAACCCCGCUGGCAAUUCCGGUUGCUCCACCGCGCCACGCAGGCCCCACUUCUUUCCGCCUGCCUAAUUGCCUUCUGCCCCGUAACCCAGCGCGACGAAGUGACAACCGAACGACGCAACGCAACCGGGCGGCGAAAAAGAUAGCGAAAACCCAGCGAAGAAAAAGAAGCAAAAAGCGAGCCUCCCGAUCCCCACCCCCGAGCCCCCCAACCACCGCCGGCGAUCGCCGCCGCCGCGGAUGCGAUGCGCCCCCCCUCAUGCGGCCGCGGAGGCACCGUGGGCCGCGCAGGGUGAGAGAUCCCCGCGCGUCGGCACUGCCUCNNNNNNNNNNNNNNNNNNNNNNNNNNNNNNNNNNNNNNNNNNNNNNNNNNNNNNNNNNNNNNNNNNNNNNNNNNNNNNNNNNNNNNNNNNNNNNNNNNNNGUCUAGACUCUUUGUCGUCUGCCUCUGGACUCUUUGUUGUCCGCCAGUAGACGGCAAAGAAGGUACUGUAGUUUGACCUACCGUUCCCUCGGUCGGGUGGGCCCAAUCCAAAGCUUUGCCGUCUGUUGUCCUAAUCUUUACCGUCGGCCGUUGACGGCAAAGAAGUGACUGAUGGCAAAGACAUUCUAUGCCAUCAGCCUGUUCUUUACCGUCAGCUUUGUGGCAGCGGACGGCAAAGACAUUCUUUUCCGUUAGCUAGCGGACGACAAAGAUUUAACACACGGCGAUGAACUGAAUUCCAGUAGUGAUAGCAAGGGACAAACAGCAUAUGAUCCAACUAUAUUAAUAAGGCCCAUGAUAUAUCAAGAUCAUGACAUAUGAAGNGUAUGUAAUUUCUUUACGGCUGAUGUUAAUUUGCAGCACCACUAGCAGAUCUCCUAAAACUAAAGAAAAAUUGGAUGGAAGCCCAAACCGACGAAAGGGGAGAGAGCCACGCCUCCCUAUAUCGGGGUAUAUGAUUGGCUAAUUAACCUUCUAUAUGGUGGGCUAAUUAAACUGAUAUCUAAGACAUGCAUGCAAAAUUAAAGAAGAAACAUAUUCUCUUUGUUCUUAAAUAUUUGUCCUUUUAGAUAUUUCACUACGGACUGCAUACGGAUGUAUAUAGACAUAUUUUAGAGUGUAAGUUUAUUCAUUUUGCUCCGUAUGUAGUCCAUAGUGAAAUCUUUACAAGGUCUUAUAUUUAGGAACGGAGGGAGUAGAAUAAAACAACAGCGGAGGAGGGAGUAGAAUAAAACAACAGCGGAGCAUGUCUCGCACAUCAAACCUCACCGAGAAACAACAGCGGAGCAUGUCUCGCACAUCAAACCUCACCCAAAAGUGUCAGCUCAACAGUGAGCAAUUUCCGUUUCAACAACCAUAAGACAAACAUCCUGUUUUGUCAAAAUUAACAACCACCAGAAAGUGAAUUGCCAGAAUACAUGUUACNNNNNNNNNNNNNGAGAGAGAGANNNNNNNNNNNNNNNNNNNNNNNNNNNNNNNNNNNNNNNNNNNNNNNNNNNNNNNNNNNNNNNNNNNNNNNNNNNNNNNNNNNNNNNNNNNNNNNNNNNNUUGACAUCGUGGUUCAUCCGAUGAGAUCAUCGUGGAGCAAGUGGGAGCCACCAUGGGUAUCCAGACCCCGCUGAUGGUUAUUGCCGGAGAGGCGUCUCGGUCAUGUCUGCAUGUCUCCCGAACCCGUAGGGUCUACACACUUAAGGUUCGAUGACGCUAGGGUUAUAGGGAAUUGUUAUAUGAGGUUACCGAAAGUUGUUUGGAGUCCCGGAUGAGAUCCCGAACGUCACGAGGAGCUCCGGAAUGGUCCGGAGGUAAAGAUUGAUAUAUAGGACGGAUGGUUUCGGAUACCGGAAGUGUUGCGGGCAUCACCAGUAACGUACCGGGACCACCGGGACCACCGGAGCUGGCCCCGGGGGUCCACCGAAGGGGGGCAACGACCCCAGGAGGUAAGGUGGGCCAAGUGGGGAAAGGAACCAGCCCCUUGGUUGACUGGUGCGCCUCCCCACUCAGCCCAAUGCGGCGGGGAGAGAAAAAGGGGGGCAAACCCUAAGCUAGGUGGGCCUAAGGCCCACCAGGGGUGCGCCACACCCCUCCUCCCCCCCUUGGCCGCAGCACCAGCCCCCAUCUAGGGCUGCCCCCCCCCCCCCGGCGGGGGAACCCCUCAAGGGGGCGCAGCCCCUCCCUCCCCCUAUAUAUAGUGGGCACUUUUGGCCAUUGGAGAACAGACUUUUGCCUCUCUCUCGGCGCAGCCCUGCCCUUCUUCCUCCUCCUCUCUGCCAUUGCUUGGCGAAGCCCUGCCGGGAGACCUCAUCUCUCCAUCGACACCAUGCCGUCGUGCUGCUGGAGUUCUUCCCCAACCUCUCCCUCCUCCUUGCUGGACCAAGGUGCGGGAGACGUCACCGGGUUGCACGUGUGUUGAACGCGGAGGUGCCGUAGUUCGGCACUAGAUCGGAAUCGCUCCGAGUACGACUCCGUCAACCACGUUCUAGCAACGCUUCCGCUUAGCGAUCUUCAAAGGUAUGAAGAUGCUCUUACCCCUCUCUCGUUGCUGGUCUCUCCAUAGGAAGAUCUGAAUAUGCGUAGGAAAAUUUUGAAUUUAUGCUACGUUACCCAACAGUGGUAUCACAGCCAGGUUUUCUAUGCGUAGAUUCUAUGCAUGAGUAGAACAAAAAGUUGUGGGCAAUGAUUUGUCAAUUUGCUUGCCGCUACUAGUCUUAUUCUUUUCCGGUGGUAUUGUGGGAUGAAGCGGCCCGGACCGACUUUACACGUACGUUUACGUGAGACUGGUUCCACAGACAGACAUGCACACCGUGCAUAAAGGUGGCUAGCGGGUGUCUGUCUCUCCUACUCUAGUCGGAUUGGAUUUGAUGAAAAGGGUCCUUAUGAAGGGUAAAUAGAUUUGGCAUAUCAUCGUUGUGGCUGUCACGUAGGUAAGAAGACGUUCUUGCUAGAAACCCAAAUCAGCCACGUAAAACUUGCAACAACAAUUAGAGGACGUCUAACUUGUUUUUGCAGGGUUUGACAUGUGAUGUGAUAUGGCCAAAGUUGUGAUGUUGCAUGUAUGAUGUAUGAGAUGAUCAUGCUAUUGUAAUAGGUUUCACGACUUGCAUGUCAAUGAGUAUGACAACCGGCAGGAGCCAUAGGAGUUGUCUUAAUUUAUUGUAUGAGAUGCAACGCCAUGUGCUUACUACUUUUACUUGAUUGCUAACGGUUAGCUAUAGUAGUAGUGAUAGUAGUAGUUGGCGUGACGACUUCACGGAGACACGAUGAUGGAGAUCAUGAUGAUGGAGAUCAUGGUGUCACGCCAGUGACGAUGAUGAUCAUGCGAUGCCUGAAGAUGGAGAUCGAAAGAGCAAAGAUGAUAAUGGCCAUAUCAUGUCACUAUAUGAUUGCAUUGUGAUGUUUAUCAUGUUUUACAUCUUAUUGCUUAGAACGACGGUAGCAUAAUAAGAUGAUCCCUCUUAAAAAUUUCGAGAACGUAUUCCCCUAAGUGUGCACCAUUGCGAAGGUUCGUUGUCUCGAAGCACCACGUGAUGAUCGGGUGUGAUAGAUUCUAACGUUCGCAUACAACAGGUGUAAGCCAGAUUUACACACGCGAAACACCUAGGUUGACUCAACGAGCUUAGCAUGUAAAGACAUGACCUUGAAUACAAGAGACCGAAAGGUCGAACAUGAGUCGUAUGGUUGAGUACGAUCAACAUGAAGUUGCUCACCAUGGUGACUAGUCCGUCUCACAUGAUGAUCGGACACGGGUUAGUCAACAUGGAUCAUGUAUCACUUAGAUGACUAGAGGGAUGUCGAUUUAAGUGGGAGUUCAUACUUAAUUUGAUUAAAUGAACUUAAUUGUCAUAAACUUAGUCUAAAAGUUGUCUUUAUAAAUAUUGUAGAUGGCCAACGUCAACCUCAAUUUCAACGCAUUCCUAGAGAAAAACAAGCUGAAAGAUGAUGGUAGCAACUAUGCGGACUGGGUUCGCAACUUGAAGCUCAUCCUUGAAGCAGCUAAAAAGGCUUAUGUCCUUGAUGCGCUGCUCGGUGACCCUCCCGCUCCCGCAGCAGCCCAGGACAUUCUGAACGUCUGGCAAACGCGGAGUGAUCACUACUCUCUGGUUAGGUGUGGCAUGUUAUACAGUUUAGAAACGGGGCUCCAAGGCGUUUUGAGCAACACGGGGCAUAUGAGAUGUUCCAGGAGCUGAAGCUAGUUUUUCAAGCUCAUGCCCGUGUCGAGAGAUAUGAAGUCCCCGACAAGUUCUUUAGUUGUAAGAUGGAGGAGAACAGUUCUGUCAGUGAGCACAUACUCAAGAUGUCUGGGUUACACGGUCGUCUGACUUCACUUGGAGUCGAACUUCCGGAUGAUGCUAUAAUUGACAGAAUCCUCCAGUCUCUCCCACCAAGCUACAAAGGCAUUGUGCUUAACUACAACAUGCAAGGGAUGGAGAAGACCAUUCCCGAGUUGUACUCGAUGCUCAACUCUGCAGAAGUAGAAAUCAAGAAAGAGCAUCAAGUGUUGAUGGUCAACAAGACCACUAGUUUCAAGAAAGGCAAGGGUAAGAAGAACUUCAAGAAAGACGGCAAAGUUGUUGCCGCGCCUGGUAAGCCAGAUGCCGGGAAGAAGAAAAAGAAUGGACCCAAGCCUGAGACCGAGUGCUUCUAUUGCAAGGGAAAAGGUCACUGGAAGCGGAACUGCCCCAAAUACUUCGCGGACAAGAAGGCCGGCAACGUUAAAGGUAUAUGUGAUAUACAUGUUAUUGAUGUGUACCUUACCAGCGCUCGUAGUAGCUCCUAGGUAUUUGAUACCGGUGCUGUUGCUCACAUUUGCAACUCAAAGCAGGAACUGUGGAAUAAGCGGAGACUGGCCAAGGACGAGGUGACGAUGCGCGUCGGGAAUGGUUCAAAGGUCGAUGUGAUCGCCGUCGGCACGCUAGCUCUACAUCUACCGUCGGGAUUAGUUUUAAACCUUAAUAAUUGUUAUUUAGUACCAGCUUUAAGCAUGAACAUUGUAUCAGGGUCUUGCUUAAUGCGAGACGGCUACUCAUUUAAGUCAGAGAAUAAUGGUUGUUCUAUUUAUAUGAGUGAUAUGUUUUAUGGUCAUGCUCCGCUGGUGAAUGGUUUAUUCUUGAUGAAUCUCGAUCGUGAUGUUACACAUGUUCAUAGUGUGAGUACCAAAAGAUGUAAAGUUGAUAAUGAUAGUCCCACAUACUUGUGGCACUGCCGCCUUGGUCAUAUCGGCGUUAAGCACAUGAAGAAGCUCCAUACUGAUGGACUAUUAGAGUCUCUUGAUUUUGAAUCAUUUGACACAUGCGAACCGUGCCUCAUGGGCAAGAUGACUAAGACUCCAUUCUCAGGUAUAAUGGAGAGAGCAACCGACUUAUUGGAAAUAAUACAUACUAAGGUGUGUGGUCCAAUGAACGUUGAAGCUCGCGGUGGCUAUCGUUAUGUUCUCACUCUCACCGAUGAUUUGAGUAGGUAUGGGUAUAUCUACUUGAUGAAGCACAAAUCUGAGACGUUUGAAAAGUUCAAGGAAUUUCAGAGUGAGGUUGAGAAUCAACGUUACAAAAAAAUUAAAUGUCUACGAUCUGAUCGUGGAGGGGAAUAUUUGAGUCACGAGUUUGGCACACACCUAAGGAAGUGUGGAAUCGUUUCACAACUGACGCCGCCUGGCACACCGCAACGCAACGGAGUGUAUGAACGUCGUAAUCAUAAUUUAUUAGAUAUGGUACGAUCUAUGAUGUCUCUUACCGACUUACCGCUAUCAUUUUGGGGAUACGCAUUAGAAACUGCAGCAUUCACUUUAAAUAGGGCACCGUCUAAAUCCGUUGAGAUGACACCGUAUGAACUAUGGUUUGGCAGGAAACCUAAGUUGUCGUUUCUUAAAGUUUGGGGCUGCGAUGCUUAUGUGAAGAAACUUCAACCAGAAAAGCUCGAACCCAAAGCGGAGAAAUGCGUAUUCAUAGGAUACCCUAAGGAAACUAUUGGGUAUACCUUCUAUCUUAGAUCCGAAGGUAAAACCUUUGUUACCAAGAACGGAUCCUUUCUAGAGAAAGAGUUUCUCUCGAAAGAAGUAAGUGGGAGGAAGGUAGAACUUGAUGAGGUAAUUACACCCCCUCCCGAACAGGAAAGUAGCGUAGCGCGGGAAGUUGUUCAUGUGGUGCCUACACCAACUGAAGAGGAAGUUAAUGAUGAUGAUCGUGAAGCUUUGGAUCAAGUUACUACUGAAUCACGAAGGUCCACAAGGGCACGCUCUGCACCAGAGUGGUACGGCAACCCUGUGAUGGAAAUCAUGUUGUUAGACAACGGUGAACCUUCGAACUAUGAAGAAGCAAUGGCGGGCCCGGAUUCCAACAAAUGGCUUCAGGCUAUGAAAUCCGAGAUAGGAUCCAUGUAUGAGAACAAAGUAUGGACUUUGGUGGACUUGCCCGAUGACCGGCGAGCCAUAGAAAAUAAAUGGAUCUUCAAGAAGAAGACUAAUGCAAACGGUAAUGUAACGGUUUACAAAGCUCGACUUGUCGCAAAAGGUUUUCGACAAAUUCAAGGAGUUGACUACGAAGAGACUUUCUCUCCCGUAGCGAAGCUGAAAUCAGUCCGAAUCAUGUUAGCAAUUGCCGCCUUUUAUGAUUAUGAAAUUUGGAAAAUGGACGUCAAAACAGCGUUCCUUAACGGGAACCUUAAGGAAGAGUUGUAUAUGAUGCAACCAGAAGGUUUUGUCGACCCUAAGGGUGCUAACAAAGUGUGCAAGCUCCAGCGCUUCAUCUAUGGGCUGGUGCAAGCAUCUCGGAGUUGGAACAUUCGCUUUAAUGAGGUGAUUAAAGCGUUUGGGUUCAUACAGGUUUACGGAGAAGCCUGUCUAUACAAGAAAGUGAGUGGGAGCUCUGUAGCUUUCCUCAUACUGUAUGUGGAUGACAUAUUAUUGAUGGGGAAUAAUAUAGAGAUGUUGGAGAGCAUAAAGGCCUAUUUGAACAAAAGUUUUUCAAUGAAGGACCUUGGAGAAGCUGCAUACAUAUUAGGCAUCAAGAUCUAUAGAGAUAGAUCAAGAUGCCUCAUAGGUCUUUUGCAAAGUACAUACCUUGACAAGAUAUUGAAGAAGUUCAAUAUGGAAAACUCAAAGAAAGGGUUCUUGCCAGUUCUGCAAGGUAUGAGAUUGAGUAAGACUCAGUCGCCGACCACGGUAGCAGAUAGAGAGAAGAUUAGUUCUGUUCCCUACGCUUCAGCCGUGGGCUCUCUAAUGUAUGUCAUGCUGUGUACCAGACCUGAUAUAAACCUUGCCAUAAGUUUGGUAGGGAGGUACCAAAGUGAUCCCGGUAUGGAACACUGGACAGCGGUCAAGAAUAUCCUUAAGUACCUGAAAAGGACUAAGGAAAUGUUUCUCGUUUAUGGAGGUGACGAAGAGCUCGUCGUAAAGGGUUACGUUGAUGCUAGCUUCGACACAGAUCCGGAUGACUCUAAGUCACAGACCGGAUACGUAUAUCUGUUGAGUGGUGGGGUAGUGAGCUGGUGCAGCAGCAAGCAAGAAGUCGUGGCAGCAUCUACAUGUGAAGCGGAGUACAUAGCUGCUUCAGAAGCAACUCAUGAAGGAAUUUGGAUGAAGGAGCUCAUCACCGACCUUGGAGUGGUUCCAAGCGCGUCGGGUCUAAUGACACUCUUGUGUGAUAACACUGGGCCAUUGCCAUAGCCAAGGAGCCCAGGUUUCACCGGAAGAUGAAGCACAUCAAACGCCGCUACAAAUCCAUCCAGGACCAUGUCGAGAGUGGAGUGACAGAUAUUUGUAAAGUACACACAGAUCCGAAAAUUGCAGACCCGUUGACUAAACCUCUUCCACAAGCAAAACAUGAUCAACACCAUAAUGCUAUGGGUGUUCGAUACAUCACAAUGUAACUAGAUUAUUGACUCUAGUGCAAGUGGGAGACNNNNNNNNNNNNNNNNNNNNNNNNNNNNNNNNNNNNNNNNNNNNNNNNNNNNNNNNNNNNNNNNNNNNNNNNNNNNNNNNNNNNNNNNNNNNNNNNNNNNGGGAGGGGGUGGCGCACCCCUAGGUGGGCCUUAGGCCCACUAGCGCCUAGGGUUCCCCCCCUCUCCACCUCCUGCGCCUUGGG